GCCCAGACUCCUACGGGAGGCAGCAGUGGGGAAUAUUGCACAAUGGGGGAAACCCUGAUGCAGCGACGCCGCGUGAGCGAUGAAGUAUUUCGGUAUGUAAAGCUCUAUCAGCAGGGAAGAAGAUGACGGUACCUGACUAAGAAGCCCCGGCUAACUACGUGCCAGCAGCCGCGGUAAUACGUAGGGGGCAAGCGUUAUCCGGAUUUACUGGGUGUAAAGGGAGCGUAGACGGCGAUGCAAGCCAGAUGUGAAAGCCCGGGGCUCAACCCCGGGACUGCAUUUGGAACUGUGUGGCUGGAGUGUCGGAGAGGCAGGCGGAAUUCCUAGUGUAGCGGUGAAAUGCGUAGAUAUUAGGAGGAACACCAGUGGCGAAGGCGGCCUGCUGGACGAUGACUGACGUUGAGGCUCGAAAGCGUGGGGAGCAAACAGGAUUAGAUACCCUCGUAGAA
This 449-nucleotide ribosomal RNA is filed under the name uncultured bacterium. RNAcentral's name for it is "bacterial SSU rRNA". It matches the Rfam family "Bacterial small subunit ribosomal RNA", at positions 329 to 795 of the family's 1533-position model. The record is from RNAcentral.